GAUGAACGCUGGCGGCGUGCCUAAUACAUGCAAGUCGAGCGAACAGACGAGGAGCUUGCUCCUCUGACGUUAGCGGCGGACGGGUGAGUAACACGUGGAUAACCUACCUAUAAGACUGGGAUAACUUCGGGAAACCGGAGCUAAUACCGGAUAUUUUUUUGAACCGCAUGGUUCAUUAGUGAAAGACGGUUUUCCUGUCCCUUUUAGAUGAAUCCGCGCCGCAUUAGCAGGUUGGUAAGGUAACGGCUUACCAAGGCGACGAUGCGUAGCCGACCUGAGAGGGUGAUCGGCCACACUGGAACUGAGACACGGUCCAGACUCCUACGGGAGGCAGCAGUAGGGAAUCUUCCGCAAUGGGCGAAAGCCUGACGGAGCAACGCCGCGUGAGUGAUGAAGGUCUUCGGAUCGUAAAACUCUGUUAUUAGGGAAGAACAAAUGUGUAAGUAACUAUGCACGUCUUGACGGUACCUAAUCAGAAAGCCACGGCUAACUACGUG
Molecule: ribosomal RNA, 497 nt
Filed under: uncultured bacterium
Lineage: Bacteria
Description: partial 16S ribosomal RNA
Rfam family: Bacterial small subunit ribosomal RNA
Source: RNAcentral